Molecule: long non-coding RNA, 558 nt
Organism: Helianthus annuus (common sunflower)
Lineage: Eukaryota; Viridiplantae; Streptophyta; Magnoliopsida; Asterales; Asteraceae
Exons: 2
Source: RefSeq, a predicted model, not a curated record
CAAAUUUUGCAAUCAAAUUUGAUGAUUACAAGGAAUGAAUUCAAUUUCUGUCACUGUGUCAGGCGCGUCGUUUCGUCUGGUGUCACGAGAGUGAGGCCCACGCAUGCGUUCUAACCGUCACAAAAGAUCAAAAAAAGUUGUUGGGAACCGGAUGGAUCGUACUCAGUGGACUCGUUAGAUGGUUCAACUUCAACUAGUAGCCCAGAAAAAAAACUAAACAAAAGAGAGGGUUUCUAAUAAGCGGAUCCAAACCAGAAAAAGGAAAGUUGGUUUGUUGUAUCGCGAGCAACAAGUUGUAUAGAACUUUGAGAACAUGGUGAAGCAGAGAUGUUAUAGAACUUUGUUGUAUCAUGAGUCUUCGUGUGUAAUUAAACUAUCGGAUACUUUUUAAUAUAUGUAAAUAAUUUCAUGUGAGUUAGAAAUUUAGUGUCAAGGAGCUGUUUUCAAGUGUAUAGAAUGGAGACAGCAGAUCCGCAAUAAUUUCUAGAUAACGGUCUCUUGUUGAUCUUAUAUGUAUAUAUUAACAAGUUGUUGAUCCAGCAAGUUGUUUGCAUAAUU